AUUGAACGCUGGCGGCAGGCCUAACACAUGCAAGUCGAACGGUAACAGGAAGCAGCUUGCUGCUUCGCUGACGAGUGGCGGACGGGUGAGUAAUGUCUGGGAAACUGCCCGAUGGAGGGGGAUAACUACUGGAAACGGUAGCUAAUACCGCAUAACGUCGCAAGACCAAAGAGGGGGACCUUCGGGCCUCUUGCCAUCGGAUGUGCCCAGAUGGGAUUAGCUUGUUGGUGAGGUAACGGCUCACCAAGGCGACGAUCCCUAGCUGGUCUGGGAGGAUGACCAGCCGCACUGGAACUGAGACACGGUCCAGACUCCUACGGGAGGCAGCAGUGGGGAAUAUUGCACAAUGGGCGCAAGCCUGAUGCAGCCAUGCCGCGUGUAUGAAGAAGGCCUUCGGGUUGUAAAGUACUUUCAGCGGGGAGGAAGGCGGUGAGGUUAAUAACCUCGCCGAUUGACGUUACCCGCAGAAGAAGCACCGGCUAACUCCGUGCCAGCCGCCGCCGUAA
This 506-nucleotide ribosomal RNA is filed under the name uncultured bacterium. RNAcentral's name for it is "partial 16S ribosomal RNA". It matches the Rfam family "Bacterial small subunit ribosomal RNA", at positions 30 to 523 of the family's 1533-position model. The record is from RNAcentral.